UACGUAGGGGGCAAGCGUUGUCCGGAUUUACUGGGCGUAAAGAGCGUGUAGGCGGCCAAACAGGUCCGUUGUGAAAACUGGAGGCUCAACCUCCAGACGUCGACGGAAACCGUGUGGCUAGAGUCCGGAAGAGGAUCGCGGAAUUCCCGGUGUAGAGGUGAAAUGCGCAGAUAUCAGGAAGAACACCAAUGGCGAAAGCAGCUUUCUGGGACGGUACUGACGCUGAGACGCGAAAGCGUGGGGAGCGAACAGG
Molecule: ribosomal RNA, 253 nt
Filed under: uncultured bacterium
Lineage: Bacteria
Description: partial 16S ribosomal RNA
Rfam family: Bacterial small subunit ribosomal RNA
Source: RNAcentral